GAUGAAGAACGUAGCGAAAUGCGAUAAGUAGUGUGAAUUGCAGAAUUCAGUGAAUCAUCGAAUCUUUGAACGCACAUUGCACCCCUUGGUAUUCCAUGGGGCAUGCCUGUUCGAGCGUCAUUUGUACCCUCAAGCUUUGCUUGGUGUUGGGUGUUUGUCCCGCGUUGCGCGUGGACUCGCCUUAAAGCGAUUGGCAGCCGGCAUAUUGGCCUUGGAGCGCAGCACAUUUUGCGCUUCUAGUCAUGAAUGUUGGCGUCCAUUAAGCCUAUACAUUUGCUCUUGACCUCGGAUCAGGUAGGGAUACCCGCUGAACUUAAGCAUAUCAAUAAGCGGAGGA
This 337-nucleotide unclassified non-coding RNA is filed under the name soil metagenome. RNAcentral describes it as "partial contains 5.8S ribosomal RNA, internal transcribed spacer 2, and large subunit ribosomal RNA". The stretch from base 1 to 120 matches the Rfam family "5.8S ribosomal RNA", at positions 35 to 154 of the family's 154-position model. The record is from RNAcentral.